This 305-nucleotide ribosomal RNA is filed under the name uncultured bacterium. Its description in RNAcentral is "bacterial SSU rRNA". It matches the Rfam family "Bacterial small subunit ribosomal RNA", at positions 337 to 658 of the family's 1533-position model. The record is from RNAcentral.
GCCUACGGGGGGCAGCAGUGGGGGAUAUUGCACAAUGGGGGAAACCCUGAUGCAGCGACGCCGCGUGAGUGAAGAAGUAUUUCGGUACGUAAAGCUCUAUCAGCAGGGAAGAAAAAUGACGGUACCUGACUAAGAAGCCCCGGCUAACUACGUGCCAGCAGCCGCGGUAAUACGUAGGGGGCAAGCGUUAUCCGGAUUUACUGGGUGUAAAGGGAGCGUAGACGGCUGUGCAAGUCUGAAGUGAAAGCCCGUGGCUCAACCGCGGAACUGCUUUGGAAACUGUAUAGCUUGAGUACUGGAGAGGC